UCAAAUAAUUAUUUUCAAAUCAUCUAAACAUCUUCAAGCUCUCUCCAUUUUCUCUCUCAUCUAAAGCUUUGAAACUUCAAAAUCAACAACAAUGUCCGUUAUUACAGACGAAAUUGUUCAAUCCUUGGAAAAAUCACCAAAAGAUCUUCGAAAAUCAAAAUUGUAUGAAUUUUGAUUCAUUUUUUGGAAUGGAAAAAGAAGGCUGAUGAUGCAAUACAUUGCUCAACUAAUGCAAACUGAAGAAAAUGAUGAGUCUACAAAUAAUAGAAGAGCGGCAAGAAUGAAGGCAUAUUAUAAUAUGUUCAAUUAUGGAUAUAUAUGUUUAUAGUUGAAUUGGUUGAUAAACUAAAACUUAUAGAUAUUACUUGUUAACAAAAUUACUCUACGUUGUUUAAGUUUAAAUUAUUUACGUUAAAGUUUGAUAAAUACUAUUUAUUUACAGAAUUAUUCUUACAAUUUUAUAUGAAAA
Long non-coding RNA from Chenopodium quinoa (quinoa), 469 nucleotides. RefSeq lists it as uncharacterized. The record is from RefSeq and is a predicted model, not a curated record. The transcript has 2 exons. Lineage: Eukaryota; Viridiplantae; Streptophyta; Magnoliopsida; Caryophyllales; Amaranthaceae.